GGUUAAGCGACUAAGCGUACACGGUGGAUGCCCUGGCAGUCAGAGGCGAUGAAGGACGUGCUAAUCUGCGAUAAGCGUCGGUAAGGUGAUAUGAACCGUUAUAACCGGCGAUUUCCGAAUGGGGAAACCCAGUGUGAUUCGUCACACUAUCAUUAACUGAAUCCAUAGGUUAAUGAGGCGAACCGGGGGAACUGAAACAUCUAAGUACCCCGAGGAAAAGAAAUCAACCGAGAUUCCCCCAGUAGCGGCGAGCGAACGGGGAGCAGCCCAGAGCCUGAAUCAGUGUGUGUGUUAGUGGAAGCGUCUGGAAAGGCGCGCGAUACAGGGUGACAGCCCCGUACACAAAAAUGCACAUGCUGUGAGCUCGAUGAGUAGGGCGGGACACGUGGUAUCCUGUCUGAAUAUGGGGGGACCAUCCUCCAAGGCUAAAUACUCCUGACUGACCGAUAGUGAACCAGUACCGUGAGGGAAAGGCGAAAAGAACCCCGGCGAGGGGAGUGAAAAAGAACCUGAAACCGUGUACGUACAAGCAGUGGGAGCACGCUUAGGCGUGUGACUGCGUACCUUUUGUAUAAUGGGUCAGCGACUUAUAUUCUGUAGCAAGGUUAACCGAAUAGGGGAGCCGAAGGGAAACCGAGUCUUAACUGGGCGUUAAGUUGCAGGGUAUAGACCCGAAACCCGGUGAUCUAGCCAUGGGCAGGUUGAAGGUUGGGUAACACUAACUGGAGGACCGAACCGACUAAUGUUGAAAAAUUAGCGGAUGACUUGUGGCUGGGGGUGAAAGGCCAAUCAAACCGGGAGAUAGCUGGUUCUCCCCGAAAGCUAUUUAGGUAGCGCCUCGUGAAUUCAUCUCCGGGGGUAGAGCACUGUUUCGGCAAGGGGGUCAUCCCGACUUACCAACCCGAUGCAAACUGCGAAUACCGGAGAAUGUUAUCACGGGAGACACACGGCGGGUGCUAACGUCCGUCGUGAAGAGGGAAACAACCCAGACCGCCAGCUAAGGUCCCAAAGUCAUGGUUAAGUGGGAAACGAUGUGGGAAGGCCCAGACAGCCAGGAUGUUGGCUUAGAAGCAGCCAUCAUUUAAAGAAAGCGUAAUAGCUCACUGGUCGAGUCGGCCUGCGCGGAAGAUGUAACGGGGCUAAACCAUGCACCGAAGCUGCGGCAGCGACGCUUAUGCGUUGUUGGGUAGGGGAGCGUUCUGUAAGCCUGUGAAGGUGUGCUGUGAGGCAUGCUGGAGGUAUCAGAAGUGCGAAUGCUGACAUAAGUAACGAUAAAGCGGGUGAAAAGCCCGCUCGCCGGAAGACCAAGGGUUCCUGUCCAACGUUAAUCGGGGCAGGGUGAGUCGACCCCUAAGGCGAGGCCGAAAGGCGUAGUCGAUGGGAAACAGGUUAAUAUUCCUGUACUUGGUGUUA
RNAcentral lists this ribosomal RNA (1413 nucleotides) under Escherichia coli. Its description in RNAcentral is "partial 23S ribosomal RNA". It matches the Rfam family "Bacterial large subunit ribosomal RNA", at positions 1 to 1453 of the family's 2925-position model. Lineage: Bacteria; Pseudomonadati; Pseudomonadota; Gammaproteobacteria; Enterobacterales; Enterobacteriaceae. The record is from RNAcentral.